CCAGACUCCUACGGGAGGCAGCAGUGGGGGAUAUUGGACAAUGGGGGGAACCCUGAUCCAGCGAUGCCGCGUGAGGGAAGAAGGUUUUCGGAUUGUAAACCUCUGUGGACAGGGACGAUAAUGACGGUACCUGUCAAGAAAGCCACGGCUAACUACGUGCCAGCAGCCGCGGUAAUACGUAGGGAGCAAGCGUUAUCCGGAUUUACUGGGUGUAAAGGGCGCGUAGGCGGGAUGGCAAGUCAGAUGUGAAAUCCAAGGGCUCAACCCUUGAACUGCAUUUGAAACUGUCGUUCUUGAGUACUGGAGAGGUUGACGGAAUUCCUAGUGUAGCGGUGAAAUGCGUAGAUAUUAGGAGGAACACCAGUGGCGAAGGCGGUCAACUGGACAGCAACUGACGCUGAGGCGCGAAAGCGUGGGGAGCAAACAGGAUUAGAUACCCGUGUAU
RNAcentral lists this ribosomal RNA (445 nucleotides) under uncultured bacterium. RNAcentral describes it as "bacterial SSU rRNA". It matches the Rfam family "Bacterial small subunit ribosomal RNA", at positions 331 to 793 of the family's 1533-position model. The record is from RNAcentral.